GAUGAAAAAGUAGGUUUGUGUGGGAGGAGCUCAAGGUUUUGUCAGCUUCAGCAGAAGAAAUCAUUGAGAAACACUGACUUACCUUCAUUGAGGAGUCUGAACUCAAACUACAGAAACAUGUUACUCAUCUCUUCUGUUUUAGUUUUUAUCCUCAGUUACUGUGAAUCUAAUGGGAAUAUCAUCAGACCAAACCAGCCAUCUGCAGUUUUAACUGAAGGAAGCAGCACUGCUCUGUCCUGUUCAUAUGAUGGAUUUGUUAACAGUCUCCACUGGUAUCGACAGAAGCCUGGAUCAAAACCAGAGUUUCUGCUGCUGAUUGAUGAGUCUUCUAAGUAUGUCAACAAAGCUGCUGAUCAAUUUCUCUCGCAUAUGUCCAUCAGACUCCAUGAUAACAAAAGUGUGGAUCUGGAGAUCUCCUCUGCUGCUGUAUCAGACUCUGCUCUGUAUUACUGUGCUCUGCAGCCCACAGUGACAGGAAAACAAACUACACUGUACAAAAACUUGUUUCUUAUUUAAGUCAUAUUUGUAUAAG
Non-coding RNA from Onychostoma macrolepis, 532 nucleotides. NCBI's taxonomy places the organism in Eukaryota, Metazoa, Chordata, Actinopteri, Cypriniformes, Cyprinidae. The record is from the annotation of a RefSeq genome assembly.